GGCGGAGUUGGAGAACCAGAGGGAGAGGGAGUAGAGCGCGCCGAUGGGGAUGACGGAUGAGGUGUAGAGCUGCGGCGUCAUGGCGGGCGACGACGGGAGGUCGACGACGCGGAAGACGCGGACGAGGGCGACGGCGAGGGAGGAGCAGAAGGCCAUGUGGACCAUGGUGAGGGAGAUGGGGAAGGGCCAGUUGUACAUCUUGGGGUCGAGGAUGUACUUGUUGUAG
RNAcentral lists this long non-coding RNA (226 nucleotides) under Brachypodium distachyon (stiff brome). RNAcentral describes it as "long non-coding RNA (BDIS_LNC002660)". Lineage: Eukaryota; Viridiplantae; Streptophyta; Magnoliopsida; Poales; Poaceae. The record is from RNAcentral.